RNAcentral lists this ribosomal RNA (253 nucleotides) under uncultured bacterium. RNAcentral's name for it is "partial 16S ribosomal RNA". It matches the Rfam family "Bacterial small subunit ribosomal RNA", at positions 524 to 776 of the family's 1533-position model. The record is from RNAcentral.
UACGAGGGGGGCAAGCGUUGUUCGGAAUUAUUGGGCGUAAAGGGUGCGUAGGCGGUUUGAUAAGUCACAUGUGAAAUCUUCGGGCUCAACCCGAAGUCUGCAUGCGAAACUGUCGGGCUUGAGUAUGGGAGAGGUGAGUGGAAUUUCCGGUGUAGCGGUGAAAUGCGUAGAUAUCGGAAGGAACACCUGUGGCGAAAGCGGCUCACUGGACCAUUACUGACGCUGAGGCACGAAAGCUAGGGGAGCAAACAGG